Molecule: small RNA, 28 nt
Filed under: Bombyx mori (domestic silkworm)
Lineage: Eukaryota; Metazoa; Arthropoda; Insecta; Lepidoptera; Bombycidae
Description: ovarian small RNA-20854
Source: RNAcentral
UACCUCCACUAGGGAUCGAAGCGGUUGU